RNAcentral lists this microRNA (22 nucleotides) under Arabidopsis lyrata. Its description in RNAcentral is "aly-miR4223". Lineage: Eukaryota; Viridiplantae; Streptophyta; Magnoliopsida; Brassicales; Brassicaceae. The record is from miRBase by way of RNAcentral.
AUGGAAUUUGAUAAAUAAACAC